GACGACGCUGGCGGCGUGCCUAACACAUGCAAGUCGAGCGAAUGAAGUUCCUUCGGGAACGGAUUUAGCGGCGGACGGGUGAGUAACACGUGGGCAACCUGCCUCAUAGAGGGGAAUAGCCUUCCGAAAGGGAGAUUAAUACCGCAUAAGAUUGUAGUGCCGCAUGGUACAGCAAUUAAAGGAGCAAUCCGCUAUGAGAUGGGCCCGCGGCGCAUUAGCUAGUUGGUGAGGUAACGGCUCACCAAGGCGACGAUGCGUAGCCGACCUGAGAGGGUGAUCGGCCACAUUGGGACUGAGACACGGCCCAGACUCCUACGGGAGGCAGCAGUGGGGAAUAUUGCACAAUGGGGGAAACCCUGAUGCAGCAACGCCGCGUGAGUGAUGACGGCCUUCGGGUUGUAAAGCUCUGUCUUCAGGGACGAUAAUGACGGUACCUGAGGAGGAAGCCACGGCUAACUACGUG
RNAcentral lists this ribosomal RNA (463 nucleotides) under uncultured bacterium. RNAcentral describes it as "bacterial SSU rRNA". It matches the Rfam family "Bacterial small subunit ribosomal RNA", at positions 33 to 507 of the family's 1533-position model. The record is from RNAcentral.